Molecule: ribosomal RNA, 433 nt
Filed under: uncultured bacterium
Lineage: Bacteria
Description: partial 16S ribosomal RNA
Rfam family: Bacterial small subunit ribosomal RNA
Source: RNAcentral
AACGAACGCUGGCGGCAUGCCUAACACAUGCAAGUCGAACGAGACCUUCGGGUCUAGUGGCGCACGGGUGCGUAACGCGUGGGAACCUGCCCUUAGGUUCGGAAUAACUCCCCGAAAGGGGUGCUAAUACCGGAUAAUGUCUUCGGACCAAAGAUUUAUCGCCUUUGGAUGGGCCCGCGUUGGAUUAGCUAGUUGGUAGGGUAAAAGCCUACCAAGGCGACGAUCCAUAGCUGGUCUGAGAGGAUGAUCAGCCACACUGGGACUGAGACACGGCCGAGACUCCUACGGGAGGCAGCAGUGGGGAAUAUUGGACAAUGGGCGAAAGCCUGAUCCAGCAAUGCCGCGUGAGUGAUGAAGGCCUUAGGGUUGUAAAGCUCUUUUACCCGGGAUGAUAAUGACAGUACCGGGAGAAUAGGCUCCGGCUAACUCCGUG